GGAGUCUGGGCCGUGUCUCAGUCCCAAUGUGGCCGAUCGACCUCUCAGUCCGGCUACCGAUCGUCGGCUUGGUGAGCCGUUGCCUCACCAACUACCUAAUCGGACGCGAGCCCAUCCUUUAUCAAUAAAUCUUUAUCAUCUCUCAGAUGCCUAAAAAUGAACUAUCAGGUAUUAAUUCUCCUUUCGGAAAGCUAUCCCUGAAUAAAGGGUAGGUUGCAUACGCGUUACUCACCCGUCCGCCGCUCGUCGGCAAGUAUUGCUACUCCCGUUACCGCUCGACUUGCAUGUGUUAGGCCUGCCGCUAGCGUUUAUC
This 313-nucleotide ribosomal RNA is filed under the name uncultured Oscillospiraceae bacterium. Its description in RNAcentral is "partial 16S ribosomal RNA". Lineage: Bacteria; Bacillati; Bacillota; Clostridia; Eubacteriales; Oscillospiraceae. The record is from RNAcentral.